This 479-nucleotide long non-coding RNA is filed under the name Ananas comosus (pineapple). Its description in RNAcentral is "long non-coding RNA (ACOM_LNC003162)". Lineage: Eukaryota; Viridiplantae; Streptophyta; Magnoliopsida; Poales; Bromeliaceae. The record is from RNAcentral.
ACUUAGUUUUUUCAAAAUUUUUGGGAAUCAUUGUAACGACCCAGCCCACUAGCAAUAAUAACUCGUUGGGCCCAAACACCAGCCCAAAAAUGCUUAAGCCCAGUUAUUAUUACUAGUGUCUAAGUCUCUUAUAAACCCAAUGACAACCCCUUUCCCAUCCGAUGUGGGACUAUGUCACAGACUCCCCCCGUUAAGGCCCUGACGUCCUCGUCAGUUCAAUCACACACACAGCCCAAGAUCACCAGGCGAUGUGAGACUCGUCUCGCUAGCCUGUCAUCCAGACCCUGACUCAGCCGAGACUCGCCACACAUGUCCAGCUGGUAAACUGGCUCUGAUACCAAAUGUAACGACCCAGCCCACUAGCAACAAUAACUCGUUGGGCCCAAACCACCAGCCAAAAAUGCUUAAGCCCAGUUAUUAUUACUAGUGUCUACUAAGUCUCUUAUAAACCCAAUGACAACCCCUUUUCCAUCCGAUGU